GCCAGGCGCAGUGGUGCACACCUGUAAUCCCAAUGGCUUGGGAGGCAGAGGUGGGAGGAUCGUGAGUUCAAGCCAGUCUCAGUAACUUAAUGAGGCCUUAAGCAACUCGGUGAGAUCCUGUCUCUA
RNAcentral lists this small RNA (126 nucleotides) under Marmota monax (woodchuck). The record is from RNAcentral. Lineage: Eukaryota; Metazoa; Chordata; Mammalia; Rodentia; Sciuridae.